Molecule: non-coding RNA, 996 nt
Organism: Taeniopygia guttata (zebra finch)
Lineage: Eukaryota; Metazoa; Chordata; Aves; Passeriformes; Estrildidae
Source: RefSeq, a predicted model, not a curated record
GGGGAGGGGACACCUUGAGGCACAGCUGGAAGGAAGGAUGAAACUUAGGGAGAAACCAACUUGGGGAAAACAUGGAGGAUAGCAAACCAUACUAUUUAACAGCCAACUUAAUAAGCUCAAUAAAAUAAAAACAAACUGCAACAAUUCUGCUCUCCAGUAAGAAGAGUCAAGAGAGAGAAGGGGAGUCCAGGGAUGGCAACACAGGAAGUCUGGUGUGAAAAGGAUGGAAAAAAACGUACUCACUGCAAAUGAAAAUGAAAAGAUUGGCCAAGUUCAGGGAGUCACUAAUGACUAAAGUACAGAAGAAGACCUAUUACAACCCAACUGAAAACCACCUGGGAAUCUGAAGAAAAACAACACAAAACAAAACAAGCAACCCAAAAAAGCACCUAAAAAACUAAAGCCCCCCUUACCCCCCUUAAUUGGUAUGAGAAAACUUUCUUGUGCUAAAUAGACAAAAAUAGUACUACAUGAGAGAGAAAACAGGAAAAGAGGAAUCACAAGCACUAAUCUGGUUGGUGUUUUAGACAGUUCCAGUGGGAAAAAUUAGGGUGAAGGGAGAAGAAUUGUUAAAAUUUUAAGUUAGGAUGUCACAUGGCACAGAAAAAAAUUAGAAGUAGGAGUGAAUUUUUAUAUGUAACUCUAGAAUUUAAUGUUACGAACUCCAUCACCCUGGUCGAGAAUAGAUUCCUUUGAAGAAAAUCCUUGUUAUCAAUUUCCAUAAAUAAUAGUUUGGGUUUAUUGGUUUGGUUUUUUUUGUCAGUAAAGAUACUCUAUGGGGGAAGGAUUGUCCUUAAAGCCCAUUUAAUGAUGAUCUAAAAGUUUUUCUGUAAAAAUUUGAUGUGAUUUCUAGACAAUCUUUUUUUUUGUAAGUAGAAAAACGAAAUAAAUUUUUUUACUAUUUAAGGAUUAAUGAAUCUUAGAUUUCCAAAAAUAAUCUAAAUUAAUGUUUGUUUUGAAUGUAACGCUCUUAAUAAAUAAGUCCGUUCUGCUUCA